ACAUAUAAAUUGCCUGAUGUAACGUUCAGGCUUAGUCUCCCUGUGGCCAGUAACCAGCACAGAACGCUCUGGACAGAACCUGUUCCUAAUGAGCAAUCUGCUGCUCCUGGCAUCUUCAAAAUCCUCAGCUGUCCACACUGCUCCCUGACAGGGAGAACCUCACAGAAAGAAGGAGAUUUUUGUCUUCUUACUUUCCUUCUUUUUCUUGUUUUAUAUACGUCUCUUGUAACUCUGGUCACAUAGUAUGGUAAUACUGUGUGAAUAACCUGUACUGUCAAUGACCAAGGACAUACUUCUUGCACAAUCGGCCAAGUAAUCUUCAUGGUCUCCAUCUGAGACUGAUCUACCUACCUUCGAAUCCAUCGACGGUACAGCGACAUCUUACGCACCGCCCUCGCCCUGAUGAAGAGGCGAUACUUUAUUU
This is a long non-coding RNA of Rana temporaria (common frog), 424 nucleotides long. RefSeq lists it as uncharacterized. The record is from RefSeq and is a predicted model, not a curated record. The transcript has 4 exons. NCBI's taxonomy places the organism in Eukaryota, Metazoa, Chordata, Amphibia, Anura, Ranidae.